Molecule: transfer-messenger RNA, 353 nt
Filed under: Gemmatimonadota bacterium
Lineage: Bacteria; Pseudomonadati; Gemmatimonadota
Description: Gemmatimonadetes bacterium (sediment metagenome) transfer-messenger RNA
Rfam family: transfer-messenger RNA
About the family: Bacterial tmRNA, also known as 10Sa RNA or SsrA, is named for its dual tRNA and mRNA-like properties.
Source: RNAcentral
GGGGGCGAACGGUUUCGACGGGGGCAGGUGACGCCAGAGCUGCGUGCCGAGGUCCCGAGGCCUCGUAAAACGCUCGGGAACGUCCAAGAAGUGCGAACCAGAACUUCGCACUGGCUGCGUAGGUAAACACAGCCCGUCCUUCCGUGGGGUCGCCCGAGCCGCGCGGAAGGGCGUCGCGAAGUCGGGCUAGCUCGCGCGGAGGCCGCAACCACGUGAGCGAACCUCUCGCGGCUGGCCAAGUCGGGGCAGCGCACCGGCCCACGGCUUGGCGAGAUCGAAACGGUGCGCUACGCACGUAGACGCUCGGGCGAAGCCGUCUCCGGACGCGGGUUCGAUUCCCGCCGCCUCCAUGC